RNAcentral lists this ribosomal RNA (1425 nucleotides) under Salmonella enterica subsp. enterica serovar Enteritidis. Its description in RNAcentral is "partial 23S ribosomal RNA". It matches the Rfam family "Bacterial large subunit ribosomal RNA", at positions 97 to 1566 of the family's 2925-position model. The record is from RNAcentral. Lineage: Bacteria; Pseudomonadati; Pseudomonadota; Gammaproteobacteria; Enterobacterales; Enterobacteriaceae.
GUUAUAACCGGCGAUACCCGAAUGGGGAAACCCAGUGUGAUUCGUCACACUAUCAUUAACUGAAUCCAUAGGUUAAUGAGGCGAACCGGGGGAACUGAAACAUCUAAGUACCCCGAGGAAAAGAAAUCAACCGAGAUUCCCCCAGUAGCGGCGAGCGAACGGGGAGGAGCCCAGAGCCUGAAUCAGCAUGUGUGUUAGUGGAAGCGUCUGGAAAGGCGCGCGAUACAGGGUGACAGCCCCGUACACAAAAGCGCAUGUGCUGUGAGCUCGAUGAGUAGGGCGGGACACGUGGUAUCCUGUCUGAAUAUGGGGGGACCAUCCUCCAAGGCUAAAUACUCCUGACUGACCGAUAGUGAACCAGUACCGUGAGGGAAAGGCGAAAAGAACCCCGGCGAGGGGAGUGAAAAAGAACCUGAAACCGUGUACGUACAAGCAGUGGGAGCACCCUUUGGGUGUGACUGCGUACCUUUUGUAUAAUGGGUCAGCGACUUAUAUUCUGUAGCAAGGUUAACCGAAUAGGGGAGCCGGAGGGAAACCGAGUCUUAACCGGGCGUUAAGUUGCAGGGUAUAGACCCGAAACCCGGUGAUCUAGCCAUGGGCAGGUUGAAGGUUGGGUAACACUAACUGGAGGACCGAACCGACUAAUGUUGAAAAAUUAGCGGAUGACCUGUGGCUGGGGGUGAAAGGCCAAUCAAACCGGGAGAUAGCUGGUUCUCCCCGAAAGCUAUUUAGGUAGCGCCUCGUGAAUUCAUCUCCGGGGGUAGAGCACUGUUUCGGCUAGGGGGCCAUCCCGGCUUACCAACCCGAUGCAAACUGCGAAUACCGGAGAAUGUUAUCACGGGAGACACACGGCGGGUGCUAACGUCCGUCGUGAAGAGGGAAACAACCCAGACCGCCAGCUAAGGUCCCAAAGUCAUGGUUAAGUGGGAAACGAUGUGGGAAGGCCCAGACAGCCAGGAUGUUGGCUUAGAAGCAGCCAUCAUUUAAAGAAAGCGUAAUAGCUCACUGGUCGAGUCGGCCUGCGCGGAAGAUGUAACGGGGCUAAACCAUGCACCGAAGCUGCGGCAGCGACACUGUGUGUUGUUGGGUAGGGGAGCGUUCUGUAAGCCUGCGAAGGUGGCCUGUGAGGGUUGCUGGAGGUAUCAGAAGUGCGAAUGCUGACAUAAGUAACGAUAAAGCGGGUGAAAAGCCCGCUCGCCGGAAGACCAAGGGUUCCUGUCCAACGUUAAUCGGGGCAGGGUGAGUCGACCCCUAAGGCGAGGCCGAAAGGCGUAGUCGAUGGGAAACGGGUUAAUAUUCCCGUACUUGGUGUUACUGCGAAGGGGGGACGGAGAAGGCUAUGUUGGCCGGGCGACGGUUGUCCCGGUUUAAGCGUGUAGGUGUGUGUUCCAGGUAAAUCCGGUUCACUUUAACACUGAGGCGUGA